UUGAAAAAUAAAAAAAGGGGCUGUUGCUGGUCCUCCAAGGGGGGGGACAACUUGUGCACGCCUUCUUUGUUCUCCUCUCCCACACACCUGUGCACCUUUUGUAGGCUGAGCAAUUGGCCUACGUAUUUUCCAUACACACUUUAUGCUUUGAAUGUAUAUUGCGCUUGAAAUAAAGCAAAUCAUUAUA
RNAcentral lists this unclassified non-coding RNA (187 nucleotides) under uncultured Agaricales. RNAcentral describes it as "sequence contains ITS1". The record is from RNAcentral. Lineage: Eukaryota; Fungi; Basidiomycota; Agaricomycetes; Agaricales.